UGCUGUGUCUCUUGGGGUUUUUGUUUUUUGUUUAAACUACCCUCUUAAAUUGGUUUCCGCAUAUGCUUCGGAGUUAGUGAUUCGAGCAAUUAAGCCUUUCUUUAAUUAGCACGAGUGGGGCUGUUUGGAUUUUUUUCUUGAGCAAAAUGGUUAAGGGCAAAACCUUAUCUUUAAAAAAGAAACGUCAUUUAACAGCAGGUAGAGAAUAAGCAAGAUCGCUUCCUUGAAUGUCCCACCCCCCUCCAUUUGCCAUAAAUUGGCAAAACGUUUUCUAGAGACUCGUUGGACGAAGCCAAUGAGCUCUCCAUAUGUACGGGCGCAUUUUAAACUUUUCUAAAUUGGAUUUAAAAAAAAAAUAUGAAAAGAAAGGAUGGCUGAGUCAAAUAGCUUCGAGGAGCCUUAACGGAAGAACUUAUUUCCAGUCUGUUUAGGUCUCAAGAGGACUUAUUUUCCGAGGGUUUUUUUUGUUUUGUUUUUCGCCAACGGAGCAGAACCGUAGCGCAUUCCAAGGUUGUUUCAGGUUUGUUAAUGUUCGCAAUAAUACCGGUGAGUAAAGAUCUUUGUUUGGAGAGCCUGACGCCCACAAGGGAAGACAUAUUAUAAGAAACGAACAAGUUUAAUUCCUGCAGAUUCGAGGUCGGGGAACACAUUACGAUUCCUCUUAGCUGACACGCAAACCUGGGCGAUGUACAUUAGUAAUGAACAGCUAACUUACACGUUUCUCCUCAUGGGGAGUAAGUUGAGGGGGGGUAUUCUUGGAUUCAGUCAAGAUCAAAGAUUGUUGGCGUCAUUAACGACAGUCUCUAGCGCAGGAGGUUUUGUAAAACGCGGGUCAUUCCAGUCACUUGAAAGGCUUUUCAUUUGAAGCGUUCCUUUUUAACAAUGCAAGAGCACGAUCCGGUCAAAAAGUUAAGCAUUAAAAGAGAGAGAGAGAUUUCCAGAGGAGAAUUAAGCCUGGAGCUUAAAUCGCCCUCGCGGUAAUUCACUGAACUCACAGGUGUCUAACUUCGGCAGGUGAGUCCUCCAGGUUUACAGCUCCUGAAAUUCCCCUUUAUAUUCUCAGAUGUAGUAGCUGUUGCUUUUCAGUCGCUUACAAUGUAUCUUGCUCUUUUCCCACCACUUCUCUUUAUUUCUUUGGUCAUUUUACGGAGAAAAAGCGGGUGGAGAAGGCAGACCCCGCUGGAAGAAAGGGACUAAGCGAAGGAGCAGAAAGAGAAAUCUAAACCCAAGAAAACGGACCGUAGGAAAAUUCCAUUUAAUGGCGCCCAGGAGCGGGAGAAAUGUCUCCCUCUCAAUCGCGCGUGCACCAAUUAGGAAUUCUCUUUGAUGUUGAACUGCUCCAUUCCGACAUCGGCGUACACUUGGGCCUUGGGCGAUCGCUGCGCCCCUCCACGGGAAGGUCGUCCUUCACUUGAGCUUGGGUAGGAUCAAUGCCUUUCCCUUGGUCGCUUGGUUUUCCAUUUGACCUCAGCCACGGGCAGGAGGAGAAGGUGAAGGACUCCCGCGGUGUAGAGUCCCGUUGGCGGCGGCGGCGGCGGCGGAAGUUAAUUCUUCGCAAG
Molecule: long non-coding RNA, 1559 nt
Organism: Lacerta agilis (Sand lizard)
Lineage: Eukaryota; Metazoa; Chordata; Lepidosauria; Squamata; Lacertidae
Exons: 3
Source: RefSeq, a predicted model, not a curated record